RNAcentral lists this ribosomal RNA (430 nucleotides) under bacterium. RNAcentral's name for it is "partial 16S ribosomal RNA". It matches the Rfam family "Bacterial small subunit ribosomal RNA", at positions 355 to 776 of the family's 1533-position model. The record is from RNAcentral.
UGGGGAAUAUUGGACAAUGGGGGGAACCCUGAUCCAGCCAUGCCGCGUGUGUGAAGAAGGCCUUUUGGUUGUAAAGCACUUUAAGCGAGGAGGAGGCUACCGAGAUUAAUACUCUUGGAUAGUGGACGUUACUCGCAGAAUAAGCACCGGCUAACUCUGUGCCAGCAGCCGCGGUAAUACAGAGGGUGCAAGCGUUAAUCGGAUUUACUGGGCGUAAAGCGCGCGUAGGUGGCCAAUUAAGUCAAAUGUGAAAUCCCCGAGCUUAACUUGGGAAUUGCAUUCGGUACUGGUUGGCUAGAGUAUGGGGGAGGAUGGUAGAAUUCCAGGUGUAGCGGUGAAAUGCGUAGAGAUCUGGGGGAAUACCGAUGGCGAAGGCAGCCAUCUGGCCUAAUACUGACACUGGGGUGCGAAAGCAUGGGGAGCAAACAGG